GCAUCUGUCAAACGUAAAUAUUAUGACAAAGAUAAUCUGAAGAGGUGGCUCAAAGAAACUAUCUGAAAUGGAGAAACUUGGAGUGGGAGAGAAGGCAUCACUGGAAGAGAACCAAACCUGCACAAACCCAGGUGGACGUGAUGAUAAAGCCUCAGAUGGUCCCAGCAAUGGACAGCAGGUUCAGUCCACCCAGAGCCUGCAGAAAAAACACCGCUGUGACAAGUGCCUGAAACGUUUCAGAUGGAAGAAGKGUCUGAAAAUUCAUCAACGCAUUCACACAGGGGAGAAGUGCUUUCUCUGUGACCAGUGUGGAAAGGCUUUCAUUCACAAGAGUGAUUUUAACAGUCAUCUGCAAAGCCACACUGGUGAAAAGCCUUACAGCUG
Non-coding RNA from Poecilia reticulata (guppy), 384 nucleotides. Lineage: Eukaryota; Metazoa; Chordata; Actinopteri; Cyprinodontiformes; Poeciliidae. The record is from RefSeq and is a predicted model, not a curated record.